AAGUUGUCACAAAAUGGAUGUUCAAAUAUCAUUUCUCUUAAAAAAAUGUUUUUUCAACACAAAUAAUACAAAACAACUUGACGAGUCGGAAUAUAUAGUGUGUAGAUGGUAGACGUGAUUCAAUUUUUAUUUUUUUGUGAAAACCGUUUUUAUUGCAUUAUGAUGUGAAAUCAAUCUAACUCAAAAAUCAAUUUUAAACAAAAACUAACUCAAAUUUACCGUAUCAGUUUAAGUUAACAAUUUCUUCUUUCUACUCAGAGGAAGGUAAAACAACUUAAUUCGAAGAGGAGUAAUUUCAUCUGAUUUGGUUUUGUGCUUGGGCGGGUGCGGAAAAGAGGACGCAAUCAAUCAUCUGUUUUUGAAGUGUGACUUCUUUGGUGGUGUGGUAGGCCUUUCUUUGGGCCAUAUGGAAGGAGCGGAACUCGAAAAUUUUCAGCGACAACGUGUCUUCUAAGGAUCAACUUCUCGAUAGUAUUAAGCUUCAUUCUUGGUGGUGGCUAAAGACGCAUAUAUCAGGUUUCUCUUUUGAUUUUAUUAUUGGUGGUUUAUGUCGUCUCUUGGUAUAGGUUACACCAGUUUGUAAUUGUGGUUUAUGUAUUAGUAAAUGGUUGACAAAUUUUAUUUUAUUUUAGAGAGGAAAGGCUGCUUUUUUCAUACAUAUAAUAAAUAGGGCUAAGAUGGACACACCUCCCCCUGUAACAAACAUAUUUAUCUGAGCAUCAAUGGUAUAAUAACUAAAACAACA
Long non-coding RNA from Medicago truncatula (barrel medic), 745 nucleotides. RefSeq lists it as uncharacterized. The transcript has 2 exons. NCBI's taxonomy places the organism in Eukaryota, Viridiplantae, Streptophyta, Magnoliopsida, Fabales, Fabaceae. The record is from RefSeq and is a predicted model, not a curated record.